CAAUAGCGUAUAUUUAAGUUGUUGCAGUUAAAAAGCUCGUAGUUGGAUUUUGGGUCGGGGCGUCCGGUCCGCCGUUCCGGUGUGCGCUGGGCGCCCCUUCCUUUCUGCCGGGGACCGCCUGGGGCUUUAAGUAGCUCGAGGCGGGAGUCGGCGUUGUUACUUUGAAAAAAUUAGAGUGUUCAAAGCAAGCCAUCGCUCUGAAUACAUUAGCAUGGAAUAACAUGAUAGGACUCCGCUCUUAUUUUGUUGGUUUCCGAGACUGGAGUAAUGAUUAAGAGGGACAGUCGGGGGCAUCCGUAUUUCAUUGUCAGAGGUGAAAUUCUUGGAUUUAUGAAAGACGAACUUCUGCGAAAGCAUUUGCCAAGGAUGUUUNCAUUAA
This 379-nucleotide ribosomal RNA is filed under the name uncultured eukaryote. Its description in RNAcentral is "partial 18S ribosomal RNA". It matches the Rfam family "Eukaryotic small subunit ribosomal RNA", at positions 592 to 976 of the family's 1831-position model. The record is from RNAcentral.